GAUGAACGCUGGCGGCGUGCCUAAUACAUACAAGUCGAGCGAACAGACGAGGAGCUUGCUCCUCUGACGUUAGCGGCGGGCGGGUGAGUAACACGUGGAUAACCUACCUAUAAGACUGGGAUAACUUCGGGAAACCGGAGCUAAUACCGGAUAAUAUAUUGAACCGCAUGGUUCAAUAGUGAAAGACGGUUUUGCUGUCACUUAUAGAUGGAUCCGCGCCGCAUUAGCUAGUUGGUAAGGUAACGGCUUACCAAGGCGACGAUGCGUAGCCGACCUGAGAGGGUGAUCGGCCACACUGGAACUGAGACACGGUCCAGACUCCUACGGGAGGCAGCAGUAGGGAAUCUUCCGCAAUGGGCGAAAGCCUGACGGAGCAACGCCGCGUGAGUGAUGAAGGUCUUCGGAUCGUAAAACUCUGUUAUUAGGGAAGAACAAAUGUGUAAGUAACUAUGCACGUCUUGACGGUACCUAAUCAGAAAGCCACGGCUAACUACGUG
RNAcentral lists this ribosomal RNA (497 nucleotides) under uncultured bacterium. RNAcentral's name for it is "partial 16S ribosomal RNA". It matches the Rfam family "Bacterial small subunit ribosomal RNA", at positions 28 to 507 of the family's 1533-position model. The record is from RNAcentral.